RNAcentral lists this long non-coding RNA (2960 nucleotides) under Neodiprion lecontei (redheaded pine sawfly). Its description in RNAcentral is "uncharacterized LOC107224288, transcript variant X2". The record is from RNAcentral. Lineage: Eukaryota; Metazoa; Arthropoda; Insecta; Hymenoptera; Diprionidae.
GCGUAGUGACCGUUAUUGCACCGCACGUUAUUCGUUCGUUUCUUCGAUUCCCCGUUCGGGUUUAUACCAAUGACCCAUUGACCUAAGUCGAAUAUUGGCCCGACGCGACGGUGCGCAAUGUCGUCCAAAAGGGUUGUAACACCGGCGCUGAUUAACUGUCGCCGUUUACUUUGCGGCUCGAAGUGGAUUCGAUCACCUGCCGACAAAAAUAAGCUCACGUUGAUCGAUGGAGAGGAGUGACUUUUUAUUGCCACUUCUUUUUAAUCCUCUUCCUCCGAUGAAGCGAUAAAUCAACAACGAAUAAAACCCGUCCGCAUUCGUCGUCGCGGACAGCUGACUGGGAGGAUCAACUGACCUACGCCAACCAGCGACCGUAUCUACUUCAUUUUUCCUCUCUAAAUCUCAAAAUUUUUCAACGAUCACUGUUUCAUCGCAGAGCUGAAAGUGGUUUGAAAUAUACGUCGUCAGAUGUGAAUAACGAGAAAUCCGACGGUUUAAGUGUCGAAUAGUAGUUUCGAUGAAAUUCUAUGCCCCAGAUUACGAUGAACCUACACAUUUAAUAACAAAUCGCGAUCUCUGAUAGAAGAAACGAGAGUGUCCGUGCAGGACUAAAAGACAAACAGAAGCAGCCUGGCAACCAAUCGAGUCGGGAAGGGAGAAAAGUGGGCGGAGAGUGAGGGAGAGACCCGAAAACGUGUCGAGCUAAUCUUGGACCAGUGUGUACGAAGGAAAACACAGAGUGCAUGAGAUCAGCGGUUCCAAUACGCCGGACUAACAGCUAAGACUCGGUGAUAACGGAAGCCGUGGAGAAAUUCUGUGCCGAGUCCAUUCGGAGGCAGAAUAUAACAAGUACGUUCAUUCCGCGGAGAGAAUGCUGGUUGACGAUGGCUAUUCGUCUCCGCAAACCUCCACCUCAUCCUCCACGUUUCACCGAUGCGUAAUGCCGGCGCAGGUUUCCGGCUCCUGGACGUUACGCCGUCGAGCCACGCUUGCAACGUAUCCUCAUCUGCACCGUAUCAGCUCGGCAGCUUUUGUCCCUCGGGAAAUACGGAGUGAUAUGAUAUUGGCGGAGGAGGAAGAGGAGGAUGUUGCCUGCACGUUGGUUCGCCCGUAUAAAUUGUACCUCUGCAGUCAGUAUACUGCGCAACGCGACUUGGGUACAUACAAGUCGUGGUCGUUUUCGGCACGGAAAGGAGGGUGGAUCCGGGCAGGAUGGAGACGAGUAAAAACGGCGUGCACACAUCGCGCCAGGAUAUACAGUGUGGACGUAUCUCGUCUCGGUUAAGACCGAGACCCUGGCGCCGAGCGAAGGCCGCGACAAAAAAGAUAGGAAGACGCCGUUCAGCCUCUACUUUGUAAGAGGUAAGCGCACUUGGUUGCAUAUCUGGACUCCGAAAAAUACCGAGGAAACUUGUCCUCUCCUUCCCGCGGGAAUUUUCCAUGAUACGCGUUUAGGACUAUCCUGGAUCCACGAUAACCAAGCGGUGGAAAAAUCUCACGGACAGUACGUCCGGGCAGCACCUUCGUGUGCUACCUUUCCUUUUAGGUCUUCAGACCCGGCGAGACGUGACCGAAGGAAGGAAGGAAGGAAGGAAGGAAGGAAGGAAGGAAGGAAGGAAGAACGUAAGGAACGGGGCCGAGGGACCGAAUAGAAGGGCUCGAAGGUGGUGGUUUCUGGUCUUUCGUUGCUCGGGGAGGAUAUCGGAGUCAGCAGGGUUUUCGUGACGCCAUUUUAUCCAUACGUGAUCUCUACCAAAUACGAAAAUUUCUACGUGACUACUGACGCGAGGGUGAAUCCAGGGUGAAUCCGGGAUGGGUGGGUACCUACGCCGAGGCAACCGUGUAGGUACUACCCAUUUACCUUAUUUUCUACUCCUACGUAAGGAGUUCUCGCGCAAGAAGCAUGCGGACAUGAAGACGAUGGUAUCUGCGCCAAGGACACCGAAAUGUGGCUGGUGGUGCGCCUCAAGGUGGGACUCAUAUAAAGUUCGAGUCACGCGUCGCGUUGCCUACCAACUGCUUUUCAACUCAACUCAAUCGAUAGUACAGAUGCAGCUGCCGCUUGAUGCACCGCGGCUACGCUUUGUUCCUUUCUCUAUUUUUCACAGUUUCUUUUACUCCCUUGUAACUAUUUUCCAUUUUUUUUGAUACGUGAAAAUCAUGCCGAGAGGAAAUCGAGGCGGGACCGUAAGAACUUCGACUCUGAAUAUCGUCGCAACGGCGCUUCGGCAGCAUUUUGAAUGUCGGGAACGAGACUGAGGAUAUAAUUAUUACCGCGCUAAUAGCACCGGCCGAAUGUUACGCCCGGGUUACAGCCUUGACUGCCGUAAAAACACUAACCGUCGUAAUUUCAGUAGCCGCACUUAAAUACGUGCUAAAGCUACCGCAGUUAGACUUCGAAGGAAACGCGUUGCGGUGUCUGAAAACUAAUGAAUGGGCGUCCGGUUUCAAAGAGGCAAAUAACGUAUUAACGCAGUGCGGUUUGUAGAAUGCCGCGGACAAAUUUUUCCAUUUUUUUUCCGUUCGUUCUUCAUUAGUUUUGGGAAAAAGAAACAAAUUAGUCGUCAACACGGAGCGGAAACCAACAAAUAAUACGAUGUCACCGUCGCUCGUCGAAGCAACAGCCGAUUUGUGAGUCCGAACUCAGCCUUUUCCUGACGCGUAGCACAAGCUAGAGCUUCAAGCUGGGAAUAAGUUAUGGGAUUUUCUUUCGCACGAUCCAGAAUAUUUUGUGAGAAACGAAAAAUCUUCCAGAGAUGUUCGAACACCUGACAACGAAAGCAGCAUGUUUGAAAAUACCAGACUGUUAAAUGGUAUUAAACAUUUGUAAUACGAAAUAAAUCAUCAUCUAUCUCUGAUCAAAAUCCAUAUUUUUGAAUCCUUGGUACCGAGCACUUGUCGCCCAAGAAUAAUCGGUAGUGAAAAUCAUGCGAGAGAUGGAUAAAUUUUUUAGUAGUUAA